This 74-nucleotide transfer RNA is filed under the name Thermotalea metallivorans. It matches the Rfam family "tRNA". From Rfam's summary of the family: Transfer RNA (tRNA) molecules are approximately 80 nucleotides in length. The record is from Rfam by way of RNAcentral. Lineage: Bacteria; Bacillati; Bacillota; Clostridia; Peptostreptococcales; Thermotaleaceae.
GCGCCCAUAGCUCAGUUGGAUAGAGUGUCUGACUACGAAUCAGAAGGUCGGGAGUUCGAAUCUCUCUGGGCGCA